ACUCAAAGGAAUUGACGGGGGCCCGCACAAGCGGAGGAACAUGUGGUUUAAUUCGAUGAUACGCGAGGAACCUUACCCGGGCUUAAAUUAUGCAUGAAUCAUCUGGAGACAGAUGAGCCGCAAGGCAUGCAUGAAGGUGCUGCAUGGUUGUCGUCAGCUCGUGCCGUGAGGUGUCGGCUUAAGUGCCAUAACGAGCGCAACCCUUUCUGCCA
This 212-nucleotide ribosomal RNA is filed under the name Bacteroides caecigallinarum. RNAcentral describes it as "partial 16S ribosomal RNA". It matches the Rfam family "Bacterial small subunit ribosomal RNA", at positions 899 to 1113 of the family's 1533-position model. The record is from RNAcentral. Lineage: Bacteria; Pseudomonadati; Bacteroidota; Bacteroidia; Bacteroidales; Bacteroidaceae.